Molecule: transfer RNA, 115 nt
Filed under: Nemania serpens
Lineage: Eukaryota; Fungi; Ascomycota; Sordariomycetes; Xylariales; Xylariaceae
Description: tRNA-Gln
Rfam family: tRNA
About the family: Transfer RNA (tRNA) molecules are approximately 80 nucleotides in length.
Source: RNAcentral
GCUGAGGUAGUGUAGCGGUCAGCACGUGGGAUUUUGACAAGAGCUGUCUGGCUAUCAUGUCAGAUGGUUUCAAUUCAACAUUCCUGAGUCCCCGGUUCGAACCCGGGCCACAGCU